GUGUCAGCAGCCGCGGUAAUACAGAGGGCGCAAGCGUUGUUCGGAAUCAUUGGGCGUAAAGCGCGAGUAGGCGGUCUCUUAAGUCUGAUGUGAAAGCCCGGGGCUUAACCCCGGAAGUGCAUUGGAUACUGGGAGACUAGAGGGUGUAAGAGGAGAGUGGAAUUCAUGGUGUAGGGGUGAAAUGCGCAGAUAUCAGGAGGAACACCGGUGGCGAAGGCGGGACUCUGGGCCGAUACUGACGCUGAGGAGCGAAAGCGUGGGGAGCAAACAGGAUUAGAUACCCUGGUAGUCC
RNAcentral lists this ribosomal RNA (292 nucleotides) under uncultured bacterium. Its description in RNAcentral is "partial 16S ribosomal RNA". It matches the Rfam family "Bacterial small subunit ribosomal RNA", at positions 505 to 796 of the family's 1533-position model. The record is from RNAcentral.